This 72-nucleotide transfer RNA is filed under the name Phrynosoma platyrhinos (Desert horned lizard). Its description in RNAcentral is "tRNA-OTHER". The record is from RNAcentral. Lineage: Eukaryota; Metazoa; Chordata; Lepidosauria; Squamata; Phrynosomatidae.
GCCAGUGUGGUGUAGUGCUUUGAGUGUUGGACUAUGACUCUGGAGACCAAGGUUCAAUUCCCAGCUUAGUCA